AAAUUGAAGAGUUUGAUCAUGGCUCAGAUUGAACGCUGGCGGCAGGCCUAACACAUGCAAGUCGAACGGUAACAGGAAGCAGCUUGCUGUUUCGCUGACGAGUGGCGGACGGGUGAGUAAUGUCUGGGAAACUGCCUGAUGGAGGGGGAUAACUACUGGAAACGGUAGCUAAUACCGCAUAACGUCGCAAGACCAAAGAGGGGGACC
RNAcentral lists this ribosomal RNA (207 nucleotides) under Escherichia coli. RNAcentral describes it as "partial 16S ribosomal RNA". It matches the Rfam family "Bacterial small subunit ribosomal RNA", at positions 1 to 215 of the family's 1533-position model. The record is from RNAcentral. RNAcentral also lists the same sequence under 7 other names. Lineage: Bacteria; Pseudomonadati; Pseudomonadota; Gammaproteobacteria; Enterobacterales; Enterobacteriaceae.